GCUGGCGGCGUGCCUAUACAUGCAAGUCGAGCGGAGCGGAUGGAGUGCUUGCACUCCUGAUGCUUAGCGGCGGACGGGUGAGUAAUACGUAGGUAACCUGCCCUUAAGACCGGGAUAACUCACGGAAACGUGGGCUAAUACCGGAUAGGCGAUUUCCUCGCAUGAGGGAAUCGGGAAAGGCGGAGCAAUCUGCCACUUAUGGAUGGACCUACGGCGCAUUAGCUAGUUGGUGGGGUAACGGCUCACCAAGGCGACGAUGCGUAGCCGACCUGAGAGGGUGAUCGGCCACACUGGGACUGAGACACGGCCCAGACUCCUACGGGAGGCAGCAGUAGGGAAUCUUCCGCAAUGGACGCAAGUCUGACGGAGCAACGCCGCGUGAGUGAUGAAGGUUUUCGGAUCGUAAAGCUCUGUUGCCAGGGAAGAACGCUAUGGAGAGUAACUGUUCCAUAGGUGACGGUACCUGAGAAGAAAGCCCCGGCUAACUACGUGCCAGCAGCCGCGGUAAUACGUAGGGGGCAAGCGUUGUCCGGAAUUAUUGGGCGUAAAGCGCGCGCAGGCGGUCAUGUAAGUCUGGUGUUUAAACCCGGGGCUCAACUCCGGGUCGCAUCGGAAACUGUGUGACUUGAGUGCAGAAGAGGAAAGUGGAAUUCCACGUGUAGCGGUGAAAUGCGUAGAGAUGUGGGAGGAACACCAGUGGCGAAGGCGACUUUCUGGGCUGUAACUGACGCUGAGGCGCGAAAGCGUGGGGGAGCAAACAGGAUUAGAUACCCUGGUAGUCC
Molecule: ribosomal RNA, 782 nt
Filed under: Paenibacillus sp. G9-12
Lineage: Bacteria; Bacillati; Bacillota; Bacilli; Caryophanales; Paenibacillaceae
Description: bacterial SSU rRNA
Rfam family: Bacterial small subunit ribosomal RNA
Source: RNAcentral